Molecule: transfer RNA, 104 nt
Filed under: uncultured archaeon
Lineage: Archaea
Description: tRNA (AA: Ala, Cod: TGC
Rfam family: tRNA
About the family: Transfer RNA (tRNA) molecules are approximately 80 nucleotides in length. Their secondary structure includes four short double-helical elements and three loops (D, anti-codon, and T loops).
Source: RNAcentral
GGGCUCGUAGAUCAGCUGGAAGAUCGCUGCCUUUGCAACCAAGGAUGCAGAAGUAUCCUAAGCAAAACAGGCAGAGGCCCUGGGUUCGAGUCCCAGCGGGUCCA